Molecule: ribosomal RNA, 380 nt
Filed under: uncultured eukaryote
Lineage: Eukaryota
Description: partial 18S ribosomal RNA
Rfam family: Eukaryotic small subunit ribosomal RNA
Source: RNAcentral
CAAUAGCGUAUAUUAAAGUUGUUGCAGUUAAAAAGCUCGUAGUUGGAUUUGUGGCUGUCACGGGCGGCCUAUCACUUAGUGUUAGUGCUUGCCCGUGUCGCCAUCCUUGGGUGGAGCCCGUGUGGCAUUAGGUUGUCGUGCGGGGGAUGCCCAUCGUUUACUGUGAGAAAAUUAGAGUGUUCAAAGCAGGCUUAUGCCGUUGAAUAUGUUAGCAUGGAAUAAUAAGAUAGGACCUCGGUACUAUUUUGUUGGUUUGCGCACCGAGGUAAUGAUUAAUAGGGACAGUUGGGGGUAUUCGUAUUUCAUUGUCAGAGGUGAAAUUCUUGGAUUUCUGAAAGACGAACUACUGCGAAAGCAUUUACCAAGGAUGUUUUCAUUAA